This 253-nucleotide ribosomal RNA is filed under the name uncultured bacterium. RNAcentral describes it as "partial 16S ribosomal RNA". It matches the Rfam family "Bacterial small subunit ribosomal RNA", at positions 524 to 776 of the family's 1533-position model. The record is from RNAcentral.
UACGUAGGGUGCAAGCGUUGUCCGGAAUUAUUGGGCGUAAAGAGCUCGUAGGCGGUUCGUCACGUCGGCUGUGAAAUCCCGAGGCUCAACCUCGGGUCUGCAGUCGAUACGGGCGGACUUGAGUACUGCAGGGGAGACUGGAAUUCCUGGUGUAGCGGUGAAAUGCGCAGAUAUCAGGAGGAACACCGGUGGCGAAGGCGGGUCUCUGGGCAGUAACUGACGCUGAGGUGCGAAAGCGUGGGGAGCAAACAGG